RNAcentral lists this ribosomal RNA (239 nucleotides) under uncultured bacterium. RNAcentral describes it as "partial 16S ribosomal RNA". It matches the Rfam family "Bacterial small subunit ribosomal RNA", at positions 15 to 236 of the family's 1533-position model. The record is from RNAcentral.
GAUCAUGGCUCAGGAUGAACGCUGGCGGCGUGCUUAACACACGCAAGUCGAGCGAAGCACUUAAGUUUGAUUCUUCGGAUGAAGACUUUUGUGACUGAGCGGCGGACGGGUGAGUAACGCGUGGGUAACCUGCCUCAUACAGGGGGAUAACAGUUAGAAAUGGCUGCUAAUACCGCAUAAGACCACAGUACUGCAUGGUACAGUGGUAAAAACUCCGGUGGUAUGAGAUGGACCCGCGU